AGCGAACGCUGGCGGCAGGCCUAACACAUGCAAGUCGAACGAACUCUUCGGACUUUUUGGCGGUCGGGUGAGUACCACGUGGUAACGUGCCUUUAGGUUCGGUAUACCUCACUGUAACUUGUCCUAAUACCGAAUGUGCCCUUCGGGGGUAAGAUUUCUGGCCUUUUGAGCGGCCCGAGUCUGUUUCGCUAGUUGGUGAGGUAAAGGCUCCUCAUGGCGAGGUUCAUUAGCUGGUCUGUUAGGAUGAUCAGCUACAUUGGGACUGCGACACGGACCAAAAUGGUACGGAAGGGAGCAGAGGGGAAUCUUGCGCAAUGGGCGAAAGCCUGACGCAGCCAUGCCGCGUGAAUGAUGAAGGUGUUAGGAUUGUAAAAUUGUUUCACCGGGGACGAGAAUGACGGUACCCGGAGAAGAAGCACCGGCUAACUACGUG
This 433-nucleotide ribosomal RNA is filed under the name uncultured bacterium. RNAcentral describes it as "partial 16S ribosomal RNA". It matches the Rfam family "Bacterial small subunit ribosomal RNA", at positions 29 to 507 of the family's 1533-position model. The record is from RNAcentral.